This 845-nucleotide ribosomal RNA is filed under the name Distoseptispora lanceolatispora. RNAcentral's name for it is "Distoseptispora sp. XT-2023b partial large subunit ribosomal RNA". It matches the Rfam family "Eukaryotic large subunit ribosomal RNA", at positions 83 to 958 of the family's 3401-position model. The record is from RNAcentral. Lineage: Eukaryota; Fungi; Ascomycota; Sordariomycetes; Distoseptisporaceae.
GUAACGGCGAGUGAAGCGGCAACAGCUCAGAUUUGAAAUCUGGCCCCUUGGGGUCCGAGUUGUAAUCUGCAGAGGAUGCUUUUGGCGAGGUGCCUUCUGAGUCCCCUGGAACGGGGCGCCAUAGAGGGUGAGAGCCCCGUAUAGUUGGACGCCGAGCCUCUGUAAAGCUCCUUCGACGAGUCGAGUAGUUUGGGAAUGCUGCUCUAAAUGGGAGGUAAAUUUCUUCUAAAGCUAAAUACCGGCCAGAGACCGAUAGCGCACAAGUAGAGUGAUCGAAAGAUGAAAAGCACUUUGAAAAGAGGGUUAAAUAGCACGUGAAAUUGCUGAAAGGGAAGCGCUUGUGACCAGACUUGCGCCCGGCGGAUCAUCCGGCGUUCUCGCCGGUGCACUCCGCCGGGUCCAGGCCAGCAUCGGUUUCGCCAGGGGGACAAAAGCACCGGGAACGUGGCUCUCUUAGGGGAGUGUUAUAGCCCGGGGCACAAUGCCCUUAGGCGGGACCGAGGUUCGCGCUCUGCAAGGAUGCUGGCAUAAUGGUCACCAGCGACCCGUCUUGAAACACGGACCAAGGAGUCAAGCAUUAGGGCGAGUCUUUGGGUGUAAAACCCGCAGGCGCAAUGAAAGUGAACGUAGGUGAGAGCUUCGGCGCAUCAUCGACCGAUCCUGAUGUAUUCGGAUGGAUUUGAGUAAGAGCCUUACCGCUUGGACCCGAAAGAUGGUGAACUAUGCCUGAAUAGGGUGAAGCCAGAGGAAACUCUGGUGGAGGCUCGCAGCGGUUCUGACGUGCAAAUCGAUCGUCAAAUUUGGGCAUGGGGGCGAAAGACUAAUCGAACCUCUAGUACUGUACC